CAGGAUGUUCCGCCUUCCCUGGGUUCCAGGGACCCGGCCCGGCAGCCUCAGGUGCACCGGCUGGGCCCGCGUUCACCGCGAUUCCGGGCUUCCAGGGAGCAGCCGGGCCGCCCAGCCCAUCCGGGUGUCCUGGAGCCUCCCCCGGUCAGAGCGUUACCCGGGAGAGAGGAAUUCGGUCUGCGUUGGGACAGACUGCUCAAAUAUCUCGGGGAGGAGAAUUUUGUCUUUUGCGGGAGAGGAAUUAGGAGCCCUUUGAAGAAGGGAUUUCCUUCCCUGAAAAUUAAGGCUUGGGACAGGCUGGGAGACGUCCGUUGGCGGCGCGCCUGCCCGCGUUUCCCACCCCGCGCACCCACCGAGCCUCGCCCCGCCCUGCCGCCUCGGCCCUCUCCUCCCGCUGCGCUCCAGGACCUGAAAGGCCGGGGAGCCCCGGGAUCUCGUGGACAGCCCAGACAGGCCCGGAGAGGGAACCCAGGAAUCAAUGGCAGCAAACGGAAGCAAAAGAUGCUCGCUCUCAGGACCUCAGAAUGUGACUGUAUGUGGACACUGGACCAAAUUUAAAAAGAGAGGAAAGACCACAGGAGGACACAGCAAGGAGGCAGCCAUCUCUAAGCCAAGGAGAGAGGCCUCAGAAGAAGCCAAACCUGCUGACACCUUGAUCCUGGACCUCCAGCCUCCAGAACUGUGAGAAAAUAAAUUCCUGAUGUUUAAGCUGCCCAGUCUGUGGUGUUUUAUCAUGGCAGCCCUAGUUGACUAACACACAGGUCAUAAUCAAGUUCUCU
RNAcentral lists this long non-coding RNA (779 nucleotides) under Equus caballus (horse). Its description in RNAcentral is "lncRNA (ENSECAG00000050636.1)". The record is from RNAcentral. Lineage: Eukaryota; Metazoa; Chordata; Mammalia; Perissodactyla; Equidae.